RNAcentral lists this long non-coding RNA (348 nucleotides) under Hordeum vulgare. RNAcentral describes it as "long non-coding RNA (HVUL_LNC003112)". Lineage: Eukaryota; Viridiplantae; Streptophyta; Magnoliopsida; Poales; Poaceae. The record is from RNAcentral.
GAAUUCAGAGGGGGCGGUAUAUCAAGAUUUCAUGGAGUCAAUACCUAGGUUAGAUGAGGAUGGUGCAUGUGGGUAAUGGGGAUUGAGGAGGCGAAUCCAGGGAUCUUACUCACUUGAUGGCUUCGUUCCGCAACCGGAAGGACCGUCUGCCAUGGUGAAACAUAGGCUGCGAGCAAGGAAGGUAUUGUAGAUAUUUUGGACGAUUACGAGGUUGUCAUCACUUUCCUUGUGCAUCUCAUGGAGAAUGCAAGGCGUAGCCACCGGAUGGGAUGACGCACGUCCUGGUCAAUCUCAAUGUCCAAUGGGAGAUGGUUGAAUCCUGCAUGGUGAAUGAAUCUAGGAUGAGAG